Molecule: long non-coding RNA, 499 nt
Filed under: Gossypium barbadense (sea-island cotton)
Lineage: Eukaryota; Viridiplantae; Streptophyta; Magnoliopsida; Malvales; Malvaceae
Description: long non-coding RNA (GBAR_LNC023481)
Source: RNAcentral
UUUUGUUUCUUCAUAUUUUCUUUCAAUAAAAUUCCCUUUUCUAUUUUUAUAUUUAUUUCUUUUUCCACCAUUAUCAUGAGCCACUAAAACCUAUCUAACCGAAAGUUGUCAAUAUUCCCCAAAAAGGGUUCUUGAGACCUAGAAUUCGUACUUAUCUUUCUCGCCAAGUAUUCAUCGUUUCUCUGCACUACGGGUUGACACUUCCGUCCAUGGCCUUUAAGAAGUAAGCUUUUCAGCAUAUGCAAAGGCGGCCGCUUUGUAUGUUUUGAAAGGAUUGCAUAGUCGAUUCGUUAACUUACUGCGUCAGAGGUUGGCGACCCAAAGAGAUGAAAUGGCGUGGGAUUCUCCAUUGAGAAGAGUUGAUCUAGCAUAAAUUACUGGCUAGAGUCAGGUUACCUAAAAAUCGUAAGUCUAAUCUUUGGAGCUGGUGGUCGUAAGCAUCCUCUUCCACUAUAAUUGACUUACUUAAGUUGAGAAGGAUCAUCUAAAAGUCGAAGAU